GACGAACGCUGGCGGCGCGCUUAACACAUGCAAGUCGAACGGAAAGGCCUGCUUUCCCUUGGGGAUUGCGGGUACUCGAGUGGCGAACGGGUGAGUAACACGUGAGUGAUCUGCCCCCAACUUGGGUAUAAGCCUGGGAAACUGGGUCUAAUUCCCGAUAGGACUGCAGGGUGGUGCCUGUGGUGGAAAACGAUUUUCUAGUGGUUGGGGAUGAGCUCGCGGCCUAUCAGCUUGUUGGUGGGGUAAUGGCCUACCAAGGCGGCGACGGGUAGCCGGCCUGAGAGGGUGGACGGCCACAUUGGGACUGAGAUACGGCCCAGACUCCUACGGGAGGCAGCAGUGGGGAAUAUUGCACAAUGGGCGGAAGCCUGAUGCAGCGACGCCGCGUGGGGGAUGACGGCCUUCGGGUUGUAAACUCCUUUCGACCGCGAGGAAGCCACCUGGUUGGAAGGGUGGUGACGGUAGUGGUAGAAGAAGCACCGGCUAACUACGUG
RNAcentral lists this ribosomal RNA (494 nucleotides) under uncultured bacterium. RNAcentral's name for it is "partial 16S ribosomal RNA". It matches the Rfam family "Bacterial small subunit ribosomal RNA", at positions 28 to 507 of the family's 1533-position model. The record is from RNAcentral.